Molecule: long non-coding RNA, 1239 nt
Organism: Symphalangus syndactylus (siamang)
Lineage: Eukaryota; Metazoa; Chordata; Mammalia; Primates; Hylobatidae
Source: RefSeq, a predicted model, not a curated record
UUUGUCUCUCACCUAGGAUUCCAGAACAAUGCGACAUGAACAUGUGGGUCUCACAUGAAUGUGGAGGACCCGUCGGACUCUGGGAGGAGGCCACCAAGGGAGAGGGUACUCCAACAGGCAGAAGCACCAGGAGGAAAGCAGCUGCCUUGUGAUUAUGAGGUACUGACAUGGGGACAAAAUACCAACAAUGUGGGGACCCAGCAGAAAGACAUAAAGAGCCUGGGUCUUGGAGGAUGCUGAACUGUUGAAUAAACCCUGGAACCUCCUCCUUCCCAUCUUUGGUUAAAUAAAAUAAUAAAUAUCUACAUCAUUUAAACCAUCGGGUUUCUGUCUCUUACAAUCAAAAGCAUUCUGUCGGAUUUUGUUUUUUUGAGAUGGGGUCUCACUCUGUCACCCAGGCUAGUGUGCAGUGGCAUGAUCUUGGCUCACUGCAACCUCCACCUCCCCAACUCAAGCAAUCCUUCCAACUCAGCCUCCUGAGUGGCUGGGACCACAGGCCAAAGCAUUCUUAACAUGCUAAAGCAGAGUGGUUUUUUCCCUUGUAAGUAACUUUUAAAACUUCAACCAUGUCCUGUGCCAAGGACCAGGGUUACAACAGUGAACCACACAACAUUUCUGCCUUCUUGGGGUUUUCUAGUCUAGUAAAGGAGAUGACAAGGCACAAUCAAGUAUUGACACACCAGAUCAAUCACUAAGCAGGGGUGAUUAGCUCUAUUCUUGGUGUUCCUACUGGCAAAUCAUGAAAUCUCCAGUGGCAAGUCUUUGAAACAUGAGGGUUCAUUACUUUCUGAGAGACAGACAAGUGCAAAAAAACACUAUAAAAGACUAAUGCUGGGCCGGGCAUGGUGGCUCAUGCCUGUAAUCCCAGCACUUUGGGAGGCCAAGGCAGGCGGAUCAUGAGGUCAGAUCGAGACCACCGUGAAACCCUGUCUCUACUAAAAAUACAAAAAAUUAGCCGGGUGUGGUGGCAGGUGCCUGUAGUCCCAGCUACUCGGGAGGCUGAGGCAGGAGAAUGGCGUGAACCCAGGAGGCAGAGCUUGCAGUGAGCCAAGAUCACACCACUGCACCCCAGCCUGGGUGACAGAGCGAGACUCCAUCUCAAAAAAAAAAAAAAAAAAAAAAGACUAAUGCUGAAAGGCAGACAUAUAGACCUGAGUUCAAGUCUCAACUCUACCAUUUACCAAAUGUGUGACUUUGGGCAAGAUUCUUGACACCUGCUAGGGGGAAAAAUGCAAUUUG